RNAcentral lists this ribosomal RNA (1458 nucleotides) under uncultured organism. RNAcentral's name for it is "SSU rRNA". It matches the Rfam family "Bacterial small subunit ribosomal RNA". The record is from RNAcentral.
GAUGAACGCUAGCUACAGGCUUAACACAUGCAAGUCGAGGGGCAGCAUAGUCUUAGCUUGCUAAGGCCGAUGGCGACCGGCGCACGGGUGAGUAACACGUAUCCAACCUGCCGUCUACUCUUGGACAGCCUUCUGAAAGGAAGAUUAAUACAAGAUGGCAUCAUGAGUCCGCAUGUUCACAUGAUUAAAGGUAUUCCGGUAGACGAUGGGGAUGCGUUCCAUUAGAUAGUAGGCGGGGUAACGGCCCACCUAGUCUUCGAUGGAUAGGGGUUCUGAGAGGAAGGUCCCCCACAUUGGAACUGAGACACGGUCCAAACUCCUACGGGAGGCAGCAGUGAGGAAUAUUGGUCAAUGGGCGAGAGCCUGAACCAGCCAAGUAGCGUGAAGGAUGACUGCCCUAUGGGUUGUAAACUUCUUUUAUAAAGGAAUAAAGUCGGGUAUGGAUACCCGUUUGCAUGUACUUUAUGAAUAAGGAUCGGCUAACUCCGUGCCAGCAGCCGCGGUAAUACGGAGGAUCCGAGCGUUAUCCGGAUUUAUUGGGUUUAAAGGGAGCGUAGAUGGAUGUUUAAGUCAGUUGUGAAAGUUUGCGGCUCAACCGUAAAAUUGCAGUUGAUACUGGAUAUCUUGAGUGCAGUUGAGGCAGGCGGAAUUCGUGGUGUAGCGGUGAAAUGCUUAGAUAUCACGAAGAACUCCGAUUGCGAAGGCAGCCUGCUAAGCUGCAACUGACAUUGAGGCUCGAAAGUGUGGGUAUCAAACAGGAUUAGAUACCCUGGUAGUCCACACGGUAAACGAUGAAUACUCGCUGUUUGCGAUAUACUGCAAGCGGCCAAGCGAAAGCGUUAAGUAUUCCACCUGGGGAGUACGCCGGCAACGGUGAAACUCAAAGGAAUUGACGGGGGCCCGCACAAGCGGAGGAACAUGUGGUUUAAUUCGAUGAUACGCGAGGAACCUUACCCGGGCUUAAAUUGCAGAUGAAUUACGGUGAAAGCCGUAAGCCGCAAGGCAUCUGUGAAGGUGCUGCAUGGUUGUCGUCAGCUCGUGCCGUGAGGUGUCGGCUUAAGUGCCAUAACGAGCGCAACCCUUGUUGUCAGUUACUAACAGGUUCCGCUGAGGACUCUGACAAGACUGCCAUCGUAAGAUGUGAGGAAGGUGGGGAUGACGUCAAAUCAGCACGGCCCUUACGUCCGGGGCUACACACGUGUUACAAUGGGGGGUACAGAGGGCCGCUACCACGCGAGUGGAUGCCAAUCCCCAAAACCUCUCUCAGUUCGGACUGGAGUCCGCAACCCGACUCCACGAAGCUGGAUUCGCUAGUAAUCGCGCAUCAGCCACGGCGCGGUGAAUACGUUCCCGGGCCUUGUACACACCGCCCGUCAAGCCAUGGGAGCCGGGGGUACCUGAAGUGCGUAACCGCGAGGAGCGCCCUAGGGUAAAACUGGUGACUGGGGCUAAGUCGUA